RNAcentral lists this ribosomal RNA (228 nucleotides) under uncultured bacterium. RNAcentral's name for it is "partial 16S ribosomal RNA". It matches the Rfam family "Bacterial small subunit ribosomal RNA", at positions 568 to 795 of the family's 1533-position model. The record is from RNAcentral.
UCCGUAGGCGGGCGACUAAGUCAGAGGUGAAAUCCCACAGCUUAACUGUGGAACUGCCUUUGAUACUGGUUGUCUUGAGUUAUAGUGAAGUAGAUAGAAUAUGUAGUGUAGCAGUGAAAUGCUUAGAUAUUACAUAGAAUACCGAUUGCGAAGGCAGUCUACUAACUGUAUACUGACGCUAAUGGACGAAAGCGUGGGGAGCGAACAGGAUUAGAUACCCUGGUAGUC